Molecule: ribosomal RNA, 114 nt
Filed under: uncultured bacterium
Lineage: Bacteria
Description: partial 16S ribosomal RNA
Rfam family: Bacterial small subunit ribosomal RNA
Source: RNAcentral
UUAGCUAGUAGGUGGGGUAACGGCUCACCUAGGCGACAUCCCUAGCUGGUCUGAGAGGAUGACCAGCCACACUGGAACUGAGACACGGUCCAGACUCCUACGGGAGGCAGCAUG